This 253-nucleotide ribosomal RNA is filed under the name uncultured bacterium. RNAcentral's name for it is "partial 16S ribosomal RNA". It matches the Rfam family "Bacterial small subunit ribosomal RNA", at positions 524 to 776 of the family's 1533-position model. The record is from RNAcentral. RNAcentral also lists the same sequence under 1 other name.
UACAGAGGGUGCGAGCGUUAAUCGGAGUUACUGGGCGUAAAGGGCGCGUAGGCGGUUUAAUAAGAUUGAUGUGAAAUCCCUGGGCUUAACCUAGGAACUGCAUCGAUGACUGUUAAGCUGGAGUAUUGUAGAGGGUAGUGGAAUUUCCGGUGUAGCGGUGAAAUGCGUAGAGAUCGGAAGGAACACCAGUGGCGAAGGCGGCUACCUGGACAAAUACUGACGCUGAGGCGCGAGAGCGUGGGGAGCAAACAGG